UACGGAAGGGGCAAGCGUUGUUCGGAAUCAUUGGGCGUAAAGGGCGCGUAGGCGGUCUCGUAUGUCCGUUGUGAAAUUCCACGGCUCAACUGUGGAGGGUCAAUGGAAACUGCGAGACUUGAGGCUGGGAGGGGCCGGUGGAAUUCCCUGUGUAGCGGUGAAAUGCGUAGAUAUGGGGGAGAACACUCGUGGCGAAGGCGGCCGGCUGGACCAGUCCUGACGCUGAGGCGCGACAGCGUGGGGAGCAAACAGG
Molecule: ribosomal RNA, 253 nt
Filed under: uncultured bacterium
Lineage: Bacteria
Description: partial 16S ribosomal RNA
Rfam family: Bacterial small subunit ribosomal RNA
Source: RNAcentral